Molecule: small nuclear RNA, 108 nt
Organism: Dromiciops gliroides (monito del monte)
Lineage: Eukaryota; Metazoa; Chordata; Mammalia; Microbiotheria; Microbiotheriidae
Source: RefSeq, a predicted model, not a curated record
UUACUAUUUCCAUGCAGCAUAUAUACUAAAAUUGGAAUGAUACAGAGAAGAUCACCAUGGCCCCAGAGCAUGGAUGACACACAAAUUCGUGAAGCUAUUAUUAUUAUU